GAUGAACGCUGGCGGCGUGCCUAAUACAUGCAAGUCGAGCGAACGGACGAGAAGCUUGCUUCUCUGAUGUUAGCGGCGGACGGGUGAGUAACACGUGCAUAACCUACCUAUAAGACUGGGAUAACUUCGGGAAACCGGAGCUAAUACCGGAUAAUAUUUUGAACCGCAUGGUUCAAAAGUGAAAGACGGUCUUGCUGUCACUUAUAGAUGGAUCCGCGCUGCAUUAGCUAGUUGGUAAGGUAACGGCUUACCAAGGCAACGAUGCAUAGCCGACCUGAGAGGGUGAUCGGCCACACUGGAACUGAGACACGGUCCAGACUCCUACGGGAGGCAGCAGUAGGGAAUCUUCCGCAAUGGGCGAAAGCCUGACGGAGCAACGCCGCGUGAGUGAUGAAGGUCUUCGGAUCGUAAAACUCUGUUAUUAGGGAAGAACAUAUGUGUAAGUAACUGUGCACAUCUUGACGGUACCUAAUCAGAAAGCCACGGCUAACUACGUG
This 497-nucleotide ribosomal RNA is filed under the name uncultured bacterium. RNAcentral's name for it is "partial 16S ribosomal RNA". It matches the Rfam family "Bacterial small subunit ribosomal RNA", at positions 28 to 507 of the family's 1533-position model. The record is from RNAcentral.